RNAcentral lists this ribosomal RNA (716 nucleotides) under uncultured bacterium. Its description in RNAcentral is "bacterial SSU rRNA". It matches the Rfam family "Bacterial small subunit ribosomal RNA", at positions 20 to 717 of the family's 1533-position model. The record is from RNAcentral.
UGGCUCAGAACGAACGCUGGCGGCGUGGAUAAGACAUGCAAGUCGAACGGGACUUCAUUUGGUAGCAAUACCGAGUGAAGUUUAGUGGCGAACGGGUGCGUAACACGUGGGGAAUCUGCCGAGAAGUGGGGGAUAGCUCGUCGAAAGGCGAAUUAAUACCGCAUAUGAUCAGCCAAGACAUCUUGGCGACAUCAAAGCCGGGGCAACCUGGCGCUUCUUGAUGACCCCGCGGCCUAUCAGCUGGUUGGUGAGGUAACGGCCCACCAAGGCUAUGACGGGUAGCUGGUCUGAGAGGACGACCAGUCACACUGGAACUGAGACACGGUCCAGACACCUACGGGUGGCAGCAGUCGAGAAUUUUUCUCAAUGGGGGAAACCCUGAAGGAGCGACGCCGCGUGGAGGAUGAAGGCUUUCGGGUUGUAAACUCCUGUCAUUUGAGAACAAGUGUAGCCAAUUAACUACUGGCUACUUGAUAGUAUCAGAAGAGGAAGGGACGGCUAACUCUGUGCCAGCAGCCGCGGUAAUACAGAGGUCCCAAGCGUUGUUCGGAUUCAUUGGGCGUAAAGGGUGCGUAGGUGGCGCCGUAAGUGGGGUGUGAAAUUUCGAGCUUAACUCCGAAACUGCAUUCCAUACUGCGGUGCUUGAGGACUGGAGAGGAGACUGGAAUUCAUGGUGUAGCAGUGAAAUGCGUAGAGAUCAUGAGAAGACAGUGGCG